Molecule: ribosomal RNA, 460 nt
Filed under: uncultured bacterium
Lineage: Bacteria
Description: partial 16S ribosomal RNA
Rfam family: Bacterial small subunit ribosomal RNA
Source: RNAcentral
CCUACGGGAUGCAGCAGUGAGGAAUAUUGGUCAAUGGGCGGGAGCCUGAACCAGCCAAGCCGCGUGAGGGAAGAAGGUACAGCGUAUCGUAAACCUCUUUUGUCAGGGAACAAAGGCGGGGACUAGUCCCCGGAUGAGGGUACCUGAAGAAAAAGCAUCGGCUAACUCCGUGCCAGCAGCCGCGGUAAUACGGAGGAUGCGAGCGUUAUCCGGAUUUACUGGGUGUAAAGGGGGCGCAGACGGCAGCGCAAGCCAGGAGUGAAAGCCCGGGGCCCAACCCCGGGACUGCCCGUGGAACUGCGCGGCUGGAGUGCAGGAGGGGCAGGUGGAAUUCCUGGUGUAGCGGUGAAAUGCGUAGAUAUCAGGAGGAACACCGGUGGCGAAGGCGGCCUGCUGGACUGCGACUGACGUUGAGGCCCGAAAGCGUGGGGAGCAAACAGGAUUAGAUACCCGGGUAGUC